UACAGAGGGGGCAAGCGUUGUUCGGAAUUACUGGGCGUAAAGGGCGCGUAGGCGGCCCGCUAAGUCGAACGUGAAAUCCCCGGGCUCAACCCGGGAACUGCGUCCGAUACUGGUGGGCUUGAAUCCGGGAGAGGGAUGCGGAAUUCCAGGUGUAGCGGUGAAAUGCGUAGAUAUCUGGAGGAACACCGGUGGCGAAGGCGGCAUCCUGGACCGGCAUUGACGCUGAGGCGCGAAAGCCAGGGGAGCAAACGGG
This 253-nucleotide ribosomal RNA is filed under the name uncultured bacterium. Its description in RNAcentral is "partial 16S ribosomal RNA". It matches the Rfam family "Bacterial small subunit ribosomal RNA", at positions 524 to 776 of the family's 1533-position model. The record is from RNAcentral.